GGCUCCAUAGUGUAGUGGUUAGCAUGUCUGCUUUACACGCGAAGGUCCUGGGUUUAUGCCCCAGGUGAAGCCA
This 73-nucleotide transfer RNA is filed under the name Pteropus alecto (black flying fox). It matches the Rfam family "tRNA". Rfam says of the family: Transfer RNA (tRNA) molecules are approximately 80 nucleotides in length. Their secondary structure includes four short double-helical elements and three loops (D, anti-codon, and T loops). Lineage: Eukaryota; Metazoa; Chordata; Mammalia; Chiroptera; Pteropodidae. The record is from Rfam by way of RNAcentral.